UACCAGCACCCCGAGUGGUCGGGACGAUUAUUGGGCCUAAAGCAUCCGUAGCCGGUUCUACAAGUCUUCCGUUAAAUCCACCUGCUUAACAGAUGGGCUGCGGAGGAUACUACAAGGCUAGGAGGCGGAAGAGGCAAGCGGUACUCAGUGGGUAGGGGUAAAAUCCGUUGAUCCAUUGAAGACCACCAGUGGCGAAGGCGGCUUGCCAGAACGCACUCGACGGUGAGGGAUGAAAGCUGGGGGAGCAAACCGG
This 253-nucleotide ribosomal RNA is filed under the name uncultured bacterium. Its description in RNAcentral is "partial 16S ribosomal RNA". It matches the Rfam family "Archaeal small subunit ribosomal RNA", at positions 474 to 727 of the family's 1478-position model. The record is from RNAcentral.